AGCCCAUCCCCGCAGCAUCCGGCCCGCGCCCGCUCAAACUUUGCGGCCGCCGCUCCGAAGCGGGACAGCGAAUCGAUACGGCCGCGCCCGGCCUCGCUGGGAGCCGGGCUACAGGUUUCACCAGCCAUCGCUCGCAACAGCUUUGUCAUUUUCUAAAAAUAAGAAGCUAAAAGUUAUUGUAGAAGAAGGGGCUUUUUUUGUCCCCCACACAAUGUGCCUUUUGAAAGGAUGCAACAUUCCUCCAGUCCCAACAGAACCUCUGGUUUGAUUAAAUAAAUAUUUCUCUAGCCUUGCGGUAACAUUUUUCACUUUCUGCUCGGGUCCAUCUGCGAUUAUUAUUUAAAAUUUUUAUUUCCAGCAGCUUUUCCCUCCCCAUUCCAGCCCUAGCGAAAAAAUGUAGAUGAUCGUUGGGAAUGUGGGAUUUGAAUUUUAGGAGGACCAGUAAAGAACCUCUGUCCAGGCUUCAAGAAUAUGUUUUCUUCAUCUUUCUGUAACAGACUCUUAUUACUGGCAGAAAUGCAGCUGAAUUAACUCCUCUCUCUUGAAAAUCUAAAGAAGCUUUUCAAAUUGCUAUUUUUUUCUUUUCUUUCCUUUUUUUUUUUUUUUUUACCUUUUUAAUUUUUAUUUUUCCUAGUAACCCAAGUAAUUAACUUUCCGGUUUGUUUCAUAGCACUGAACAAGGAAUGCAGUUGCGGUCAGUUUUUCCAUUUGGGAGAACCUUAAUGUAGAUGUAUUUUAUACUGAAAGGUAAUAAACUGCAUGUUUGUUAGUAAGUAUUUGAGAUGAAAUGUAUCAUCUUUCCAGGUUUUUACGGUGGGGUUAGUCCUUUGGAAUUUUGACAAGUCCCUUUCGGUGGGAUGGGGGAAUGAAAGGUGAUCAGAAAUUGAAGAAGGGCUGUACUCGCUGAUAUGGUACUGUGUCUUGGGUUUGGAAAAGGUAUUCACAGGUUUUUAGACUCGAGGUUUAAUAUGUACCAUAGUUCUAUGAGUAUUAUAAAUGCAGCACUGAGGUGUACUGUUGUGAUGCGCAUGCUGUGCAUGAGUUCUGAUGGGUUGCUAGAUGCAUAGACUCCCGUAUGUUACCAGUUUGCCUUUAAAAGCUGCCCUUGAAAAUGUGUAAAAAUAUGCUUGUCUAGAUUUAUGGAAGAAUAAUUGUUAAAUUACUUGCCAUUCCAAAAAAUAAGAAAAAAGCAAAAAACAAACAAAACCAACCCCAACCAAAAAAAAUGGGGGGGGGGGGGGGGGGGGGGAGGGAUGGGGGAAAAGCCCAAACCAAAACCAACAUGCCUUGGGGCAGGUCAGAUUUUUCAGGGCUGCUUGGUGCGCUGUCUGUAAAGGUGCAUGUAAUUUGUAACUGUUGUUUGUGCUGAAUAUGAAACAAACGUGUUUAGAUGAUGAAGUUGAGGUGAGAAUAAAGUAACCCUUGUCUUUUGGUA
Strigops habroptila (Kakapo) is the source of this 1435-nucleotide long non-coding RNA. RefSeq lists it as uncharacterized. The transcript has 2 exons. The record is from RefSeq and is a predicted model, not a curated record. NCBI's taxonomy places the organism in Eukaryota, Metazoa, Chordata, Aves, Psittaciformes, Psittacidae.